This 89-nucleotide transfer RNA is filed under the name Caulifigura coniformis. RNAcentral describes it as "Planctomycetes bacterium Pan44 tRNA-Gly". The record is from RNAcentral. Lineage: Bacteria; Pseudomonadati; Planctomycetota; Planctomycetia; Planctomycetales; Planctomycetaceae.
GCAUGGGCUGGGCGCCGGGAAGCCGGCUGGUUUCCAACUGGUUCACCGCGGGAGAGCGCGGGCGUGCGUUCGGGAUGUACGUCUUCGCG